This 345-nucleotide unclassified non-coding RNA is filed under the name soil metagenome. RNAcentral's name for it is "partial contains 5.8S ribosomal RNA, internal transcribed spacer 2, and large subunit ribosomal RNA". The stretch from base 1 to 119 matches the Rfam family "5.8S ribosomal RNA", at positions 35 to 154 of the family's 154-position model. The record is from RNAcentral.
GAUUAAGAACGCAGCGAAAUGCGAUACGUAAUGUGAAUUGCAAAUUCAGUGAAUCAUCGAGUCUUUGAACGCACAUUGCGCCCCCUGGUAUUCCGGGGGGCAUGCCUGUCCGAGCGUCAUUGCUGCCCUCAAGCACGGCUUGUGUGUUGGGCCCCGUCCUCCGAUCCCGGGGGACGGGCCCGAAAGGCAGCGGCGGCACCGCGUCCGGUCCUCGAGCGUAUGGGGCUUUGUCACCCGCUCUGUAGGCCCGGCCGGCGCUUGCCGAUCAACCCAAAUUUUUAUCCAGGUUGACCUCGGAUCAGGUAGGGAUACCCGCUGAACUUAAGCAUAUCAAUAAGCGGAGGA